RNAcentral lists this ribosomal RNA (431 nucleotides) under uncultured bacterium. Its description in RNAcentral is "partial 16S ribosomal RNA". It matches the Rfam family "Bacterial small subunit ribosomal RNA", at positions 338 to 795 of the family's 1533-position model. The record is from RNAcentral.
CCUACGGGUGGCAGCAGUGGGGAAUAUUGCACAAUGGGCGCAAGCCUGAUGCAGCCAUGCCGCGUGUGUGAAGAAGGCCUUCGGGUUGUAAAGCACUUUCAGCGAGGAGGCGUUACUCGCAGAAGAAGCACCGGCUAACUCCGUGCCAGCAGCCGCGGUAAUACGGAGGGUGCAAGCGUUAAUCAGAAUUACUGGGCGUAAAGCGCACGCAGGCGGUUUGUUAAGUCAGAUGUGAAAUCCCCGAGCUUAACUUGGGAACUGCAUUUGAAACUGGCAAGCUAGAGUCUUGUAGAGGGGGGUAGAAUUCCAGGUGUAGCGGUGAAAUGCGUAGAGAUCUGGAGGAAUACCGGUGGCGAAGGCGGCCCCCUGGACAAGCUGACGCUCAGGUGCGAAAGCGUGGGGAGCAAACAGGAUUAGAUACCCUUGUAGUC